RNAcentral lists this ribosomal RNA (253 nucleotides) under uncultured bacterium. Its description in RNAcentral is "partial 16S ribosomal RNA". It matches the Rfam family "Bacterial small subunit ribosomal RNA", at positions 524 to 776 of the family's 1533-position model. The record is from RNAcentral.
UACGAGAGGUGCAAGCGUUAUUCGGAAUUAUUGGGCGUAAAGGGCGCGUAGGCGGUUCUAUAAGUUUUUUGUUUAAGGCUCCGGCCUAACUGGAGAAAUGCAAAAAAGACUGUAGAGCUAGAGUAUAAUAGAGAGAAGUGGAAUUUUCGGAGUAGCGGUUAAAUGCGUAGAUCUCGAAAGGAACGCCAAUGGCGAAGGCAGCUUCUUGGAUUAUUACUGACGCUGAGGCGCGAAGGCGUGGGGAGCAAACAGG